RNAcentral lists this ribosomal RNA (495 nucleotides) under uncultured bacterium. RNAcentral describes it as "partial 16S ribosomal RNA". It matches the Rfam family "Bacterial small subunit ribosomal RNA", at positions 28 to 507 of the family's 1533-position model. The record is from RNAcentral.
GAUGAACGCUGGCGGCGUGCCUAAUACAUGCAAGUAGAACGCUGAAGGAGGAGCUUGCUCUUCUGGAUGAGUUGCGAACGGGUGAGUAACGCGUAGGUAACCUGCCUGGUAGCGGGGGAUAACUAUUGGAAACGAUAGCUAAUACCGCAUGACAACAGUUAUUGCAUGAUAACUGUUUAAAAGGGGCAACUGCUCCACUACCAGAUGGACCUGCGUUGUAUUAGCUAGUUGGUGAGGUAACGGCUCACCAAGGCGACGAUACAUAGCCGACCUGAGAGGGUGAUCGGCCACACUGGGACUGAGACACGGCCCAGACUCCUACGGGAGGCAGCAGUAGGGAAUCUUCGGCAAUGGACGGAAGUCUGACCGAGCAACGCCGCGUGAGUGAAGAAGGUUUUCGGAUCGUAAAGCUCUGUUGUAAGAGAAGAACGAGUGUGAGAGUGGAAAGUUCACACUGUGACGGUAUCUGACCAGAAAGGGACGGCUAACUACGUA